RNAcentral lists this transfer RNA (77 nucleotides) under Oscillospiraceae bacterium. RNAcentral's name for it is "tRNA-Ile". It matches the Rfam family "tRNA". Rfam says of the family: Transfer RNA (tRNA) molecules are approximately 80 nucleotides in length. Lineage: Bacteria; Bacillati; Bacillota; Clostridia; Eubacteriales; Oscillospiraceae. The record is from RNAcentral.
UGACCGUUAGCUUAGUUGGUUAAAGCCGUCGCCUUAUAAGCGACAGAGGGCUGGUUAGAGCACGGGACGGUCAACCA